AAGGAUUAAUUUCAGUUUACCCCCGUGAGGUUUGGGGGUGUCAUCAUUUCACCCCCUCUAUUCUCAAUUUUGAAUUUUUACCCCCUGAGCUUUUCAAUUUACCUCAACCGUGUCCAAUGUCUCAUUUUCCGUCCAAAUUGGACGUUAACUCUGACUAUCAGACCCACUCCAAGGGCUAAAAUAGUCAUUUCAAGACAAUUUAAAAAAAAAAAAAAUCAUUUCUUCUUCUUGUCUCUCUCAUCUCCUCUAUUCUCUCUCUUUCUCACCGCCUCGCCACCACCAUGGUCCCCGACUAAGAUGACUCUCCUUUUCCUCCCUAGACGACGUCGUUGACGAGGACGACGAUGCCCAUCGCCAUAGCCACCGCUCCUCCCACCUUCACCGCCUCUCUUUCCUCAAUACCCAUCAAAGACUCUCCUUUUCCUCAACACCCAACUCGGUCCUACAACUCGUUCUGGCCAACCAGUGGUCCGCCGAGCUAGAGAGCGAGUUGUCCGAGUCACACCCAUCACACCAAAGGCUUCCAAUUUCUUCAAUUGGGUAUGUGAGAAAAAUGGGUUUAGGCCAAGCUCUUCGAUUUUUAGCCUCUGCCGUUGCAUUUUUGCUCCACCGCCAGCGCUGAAAGCUUGACCCCCCCCCCCCCCCCCCCCCUCGUCCGACAGCUCUUCUUCUUCUCAUAGCUGCUUCCAUCUCCGACGAACAAUCCGCUUUCUCCUUCCUCUCUCAGGUUAGGGAUCCCCGUGCUACUCACAAUUGCUGGGCAUACAAGGUGGGGGAUCAGUACCGGUCUAAUGAUGAUGGUGAGCCAUCUGGAAUGGCCGGGAAGCCCAUUCAUUCUGUUAUUGAGUCUUCAAGAAUUGAUAGAGUAAUGGUCGUCGUCAUCCGUUUAAGGAGUUUCAAGCAGGUUUUUGUGGAUUUUGGGCGGUGGGUUUGGUUUGGAAUUUUGGUUGGAGUUGAUUUCAGGUGGUGGAUGUUGAGGAUUUAGCUCUAGAGUACUUUGUUUUUGAUGGAGAGGGACGGAUCCACACCGAAGACGAGAAAGCAAUCGCUGGUGAGAUGAACAGAGGAGCUGAUGUCACAGCCUGAAUCGGAGGAGUCUUUGGGGCUGCCCAUCGGAGAUGAGAGAGACAAGAAGAAGAGGAUCGAAGGAAGAAGAAGAAAUGAAAUUUUUUUUUUUUUUAAAUUUUUUGUCUCGAAAUGAUUAUUUUAGCCCUUGAAGUGGGUCUAAUAGUCAGAGUUAACGUCCAAUUUGGACGGAAAAUGAGACAUUGGACAUGGUUGAGGAAAAUUGAAAAGCUUAGGGGGUAAAAAUUCAAAAUUGAGAAUACAGGGGGUGAAAUGAUGACACCCCCAAACCUCUGGGGGUAAACUGAAAUUAAUCCAAAAAAUAAUGUGUUGAGAGUAAUAAAUGUAAGGAUAUAAGGGGGAAAAUGAUUCCUUUGAAGUAUGGAAGGAACCAUUUUACCCUCUAUUUUCCUUUGCUUCAGGAAAGAAUUUCCUUUCCUUUUCCUUCCCAAACGCAAGAAAGGAAUAACUUUCCUUUCCUGAUGCUUACUUUCUGCAAACCAAACGAGGCCUUUAUGUAAUGAUUUUAUGCAAAUAGUUGUUUCUAAACUUUUUUUUUUUUAACUUCAGUGAGAACUUGUGAGUCGUCGAAAUAAUAACUAUGAAACAGCUGGAGUACGUUUGUUCAUACCACCUGCAUAAUACGC
Rosa rugosa (rugosa rose) is the source of this 1712-nucleotide long non-coding RNA. RefSeq lists it as uncharacterized. The transcript has 3 exons. The record is from RefSeq and is a predicted model, not a curated record. NCBI's taxonomy places the organism in Eukaryota, Viridiplantae, Streptophyta, Magnoliopsida, Rosales, Rosaceae.